This 510-nucleotide long non-coding RNA is filed under the name Homo sapiens (human). RNAcentral describes it as "non-protein coding lnc-MPEG1-4:1". The record is from RNAcentral. Lineage: Eukaryota; Metazoa; Chordata; Mammalia; Primates; Hominidae.
GUUCAGUGGGCCACCAAGGCAGAGGAUAUACCUGCUGGAUACCAGUUAUACCAGUUGUGACUAUUUUUACUUCAUUAUAAAGAUGAGAAAAUAGGGGCUCCAUGUGGUCACACAACUUGCAAGAAACAAAGGAUAAAUCAAACCAGGAUGGGAGGAUGGAGGAGAAAGCUGAAUACAAAACAAGGGCCACUGGGCCAAGAAAAGAAGAAUGGACUUGUUUCUGGACUCUGUGACCUGCUCCCCAGGGCCAGGCAUGGUAUGGUGGAUGGGCAGUCAGGAAAAUCAGGUGCAAGUCCCAUCCCUGCCAGGAGUUUCUCGCUAAGGUAGUUAACUUUUCUGAGCCUCAAUUUCCCCAUCUGUAAAACUGUGAGGGUCUUGGGUUAGAAGACGCUACGGAAACUGGCUGACAACUUCCCACCAAUAUCUGAGAAAAAAAUGGCCACCCAAGCCCUGAGUCCUCCACUUAUGGCCGAUUCUCCUCGCCCAGCUCUUUCUGGAGAGGUUUGGGGA